RNA transcript from Solanum dulcamara, 1207 nucleotides. RefSeq lists it as uncharacterized. The record is from RefSeq and is a predicted model, not a curated record. The transcript is spliced from 3 exons. Lineage: Eukaryota; Viridiplantae; Streptophyta; Magnoliopsida; Solanales; Solanaceae.
AAUAGUAAUGAACAAAAGCAAUACGAAUUUUUGGACCAUGUAAGUUUGCUAUCGGCGCAUUUUAGCAAGGAAGCUAACGUGCACCAAGUAGGAAAAUUCCAUGGGAAAGAAAUGCAACUCUGGUAAGGAGGUGGACACGAUUGGGUCACUGACUAACCGAUGAUUAGCAAGGAUCGCCAAUUGUCUACUAUUACCUUUGGUAGCUACCGACCAACUAGGUUUUAGUCUAUUGAAGAGGAGGGGGACAAACUAGGUUCGGAUUCAGACUCACAAAAGAUGAUCCAACUAGAGCCCUAUGGUGGCAUUACGACGGAAUCAUAGCCGGCGAUGAGACGGUUACAAUUUUCAGGAGUGGACACGUCUGCUCCACCUCCGAUGUCGGCAGUCAAAUCGGAUGAGGCUAAGCGAGUGGAUAACAAGGAGAGACGGCGGGGUAAACCACUAACCUAUGUACCUUCGAGUCUGAGGAAUGGGAAGAAAUGUGUAACUAUUGUAAAGGAUGAUUUGGCUGAACUAGCUAGCUAUUGGAGCUCUACUUGUAGUAGAGAAGAAGACCGAGGAAAUAUCAACCAAGACAAAGCCAGUGGUGACAUAUGUGUGAUAAGGUUUUCUAUCCCUGUCCUCAAUAGUUUUCAAAGUCUAACCAUGAAGGCAACCACAAGUACAGGCGACCCCAGGGGUCCUCACACACCAUGAGACUAGUUACAUGGAAUCUUAGAGGGCUGAAUCAACCCUUUAAACAGAAAGAGGUCAAUCUUAUUAAGGUGGAUGUGGUGGGACUCAUUGAAACUAGAGUAAAGGAGAAUAAAGCUCAAAAUAUCAUCAACAAGUUGGGUUUUGACGGGAUAUCUUGUUGUAAUAAUCCGUUGGGAAGGAAUGGAAGAAUUUGGCUAUUAUGGAAGAACUUGUUCCAAAUACAAGUGGAAAAGAUAAGGCUUCAAGCUAAUACAGAUAAGAGUUGCAUAUAUAUGGCAAGGGUGAAAGCUAGUGUGAGACAGGAAAUUCUAGACUACCUAGGCUAUCAAGAGGGUGAAUUACCAUUCAAAUACUUGGGGGUUCCGUUGUAAUCCAAGAAAUUGACUGUUGCACAGUGCUUACCUAUAGUAGAAAAGAUAACUGCAAAAAUGAGGUGCUUGUCAGCUAAGUUAUUGUCCUAUGUUGGAAGGACUCAAUUUAUUAAGUCAUUUAUUUUUGGCAUCCAAACUUA